RNAcentral lists this ribosomal RNA (1312 nucleotides) under Lactiplantibacillus plantarum. RNAcentral describes it as "bacterial SSU rRNA". It matches the Rfam family "Bacterial small subunit ribosomal RNA", at positions 157 to 1465 of the family's 1533-position model. The record is from RNAcentral. Lineage: Bacteria; Bacillati; Bacillota; Bacilli; Lactobacillales; Lactobacillaceae.
CAGGUUUUAACCCCAAAAACACUUGGCCCCCAUGUCCAGCUUAAAAAGGGCUUCGGCUUACAUUUUGGAGUGCCCCCGGCGUAUUACCUAAAUGGUGGGUAACGGCUCCCCAUGGCAAUGAUACGUACCCGCCCUGAGAGGGUAAUCGGCCCCAUUGGGACUGAGCACGGCCCAAAUUCCUACGGGGAGCAGCAGUAGGGAUUUUCCCCAAAUGGACGAAAUCUGAUGGAGCAACGCCGCGUGAGUGAAGAAGGGUUUCGGCUCGUAAAACUCUGUUGUUAAAGAAGAACAUAUCUGAGAGUAACUGUUCAGGUAUUGACGGUAUUUAACCAGAAAGCCACGGCUAACUACGUGCCAGCAGCCGCGGUAAUACGUAGGUGGCAAGCGUUGUCCGGAUUUAUUGGGCGUAAAGCGAGCGCAGGCGGUUUUUUAAGUCUGAUGUGAAAGCCUUCGGCUCAACCGAAGAAGUGCAUCGGAAACUGGGAAACUUGAGUGCAGAAGAGGACAGUGGAACUCCAUGUGUAGCGGUGAAAUGCGUAGAUAUAUGGAAGAACACCAGUGGCGAAGGCGGCUGUCUGGUCUGUAACUGACGCUGAGGCUCGAAAGUAUGGGUAGCAAACAGGAUUAGAUACCCUGGUAGUCCAUACCGUAAACGAUGAAUGCUAAGUGUUGGAGGGUUUCCGCCCUUCAGUGCUGCAGCUAACGCAUUAAGCAUUCCGCCUGGGGAGUACGGCCGCAAGGCUGAAACUCAAAGGAAUUGACGGGGGCCCGCACAAGCGGUGGAGCAUGUGGUUUAAUUCGAAGCUACGCGAAGAACCUUACCAGGUCUUGACAUACUAUGCAAAUCUAAGAGAUUAGACGUUCCCUUCGGGGACAUGGAUACAGGUGGUGCAUGGUUGUCGUCAGCUCGUGUCGUGAGAUGUUGGGUUAAGUCCCGCAACGAGCGCAACCCUUAUUAUCAGUUGCCAGCAUUAAGUUGGGCACUCUGGUGAGACUGCCGGUGACAAACCGGAGGAAGGUGGGGAUGACGUCAAAUCAUCAUGCCCCUUAUGACCUGGGCUACACACGUGCUACAAUGGAUGGUACAACGAGUUGCGAACUCGCGAGAGUAAGCUAAUCUCUUAAAGCCAUUCUCAGUUCGGAUUGUAGGCUGCAACUCGCCUACAUGAAGUCGGAAUCGCUAGUAAUCGCGGAUCAGCAUGCCGCGGUGAAUACGUUCCCGGGCCUUGUACACACCGCCCGUCACACCAUGAGAGUUUGUAACACCCAAAGUCGGUGGGGUAACCUUUUAGGAACCAGCCGCCUAAGGUGA